Molecule: ribosomal RNA, 612 nt
Filed under: Cystobasidium laryngis
Lineage: Eukaryota; Fungi; Basidiomycota; Cystobasidiomycetes; Cystobasidiales; Cystobasidiaceae
Description: eukaryotic LSU rRNA
Rfam family: Eukaryotic large subunit ribosomal RNA
Source: RNAcentral
GGAAAAGAAACUAACAAGGAUUCCCCUAGUAACGGCGAGUGAAGUGGGAAAAGCUCAACUUUGAAAUCUGGUACUUUCAGUAUCCGAAUUGUAGUCUCAAGAAGUGUUUUCUGUGCCGGUCCAUGUAUGAGUCUGUUGGAACACAGCGUCAUAGAGGGUGACAACCCCGUUCAUGACAUGGAUCCCGGUGCUUUGUGAUACACUCUCGAAGAGUCGAGUUGUUUGGGAAUGCAGCUCAAAUUGGGUGGUAAAUUCCAUCUAAAGCUAAAUAUUGGCGAGAGACCGAUAGCAAACAAGUACCGUGAGGGAAAGAUGAAAAGCACUUUGGAAAGAGAGUUAACAGUACGUGAAAUUGUUGAAAGGGAAACGAUUGAAGUCAGACGUGCGUGAUGCGGUUCAGCUUUAGUUCGCUAGAGUGUACUCCGUAUCUUUGCAGGCCAGCAUCGGUUUUGUUAGUCGGAUAAAGGUUUGAGAAAUGUGGCAUCUUCGGAUGUGUUAUAGUCUCAGACUGAAUACGAUUGAUGGGACCGAGGAACGCAGCGCGCCGCAAGGCAAAGGUUCCGACCUUUUCGCGCUUAGGAUGCUGGUGAAAUGGCUUUAAACGACCCGUCU